RNAcentral lists this ribosomal RNA (466 nucleotides) under uncultured bacterium. RNAcentral's name for it is "partial 16S ribosomal RNA". It matches the Rfam family "Bacterial small subunit ribosomal RNA", at positions 28 to 507 of the family's 1533-position model. The record is from RNAcentral.
GAUGAACGCUGGCGGCGUGCUUAACACAUGCAAGUCGAACGAUGAAGCCCAGCUUGCUGGGUGGAUUAGUGGCGAACGGGUGAGUAACACGGGAGUAACCUGCCCUUAACUCUGGGAUAAGCCUGGGAAACUGGGUCUAAUACCUGAGAGGAGCGGCCACCGCAGGGGGGGUGUUGGAAAGAUUUAUCGUUGUUGGAUGGACUCGCGGCCUAUUAGCUUGUUGGUGAGGUAAUGGCUCACCAAGGCGACGACGGGUAGCCGGCCUGAGAGGGUGACCGGCCACACUGCGACUGAGACACGGCCCAGACUGCUACGGGAGGCAGCAGUGGGGAGUAUUGCACAAUGGGCGCAAGCCUGAUGCAGCGACGCCGCGUGAGGGAUGACGGCCUUCGGGUUGUAAACCUCUUUCAGUAGGGAAGCAGCGAAAGUGACGGUACCUGAAGAAGAAGCACCGGCUAACUACGUG